GUGAGGAAUAUUGGUCAAUGGACGAGAGUCUGAACCAGCCAAGUCGCGUGAAGGAAGACGGUUCUAUGAAUUGUAAACUUCUUUUGUGCAGGAAUAAAGUGGGUUACGUGUAACCUUUUCUAUGUACUGUACGAAUAAGGAUCGGCUAACUCCGUGCCAGCAGCCGCGGUAAUACGGAGGAUCCGAGCGUUAUCCGGAUUUAUUGGGUUUAAAGGGUGCGUAGGUGGAUUGAUAAGUCAGCGGUGAAAGUUUGCAGCUUAACUGUAAAAUUGCCGUUGAAACUGUCGGUCUUGAGUGCAAAUGAGGUAGGCGGAAUGUGUUGUGUAGCGGUGAAAUGCUUAGAUAUAACACAGAACUCCGAUUGCGAAGGCAGCUUACUGGGAUGCAACUGACACUGAUGCACGAAAGCGUGGGUAUCAAACAGGAUUAGAAACCCCUGUAGUCC
This 445-nucleotide ribosomal RNA is filed under the name uncultured bacterium. RNAcentral describes it as "partial 16S ribosomal RNA". It matches the Rfam family "Bacterial small subunit ribosomal RNA", at positions 354 to 796 of the family's 1533-position model. The record is from RNAcentral.